UGUGCUGAUUGACCAAAUUUAACAAGAAGGGGAGCUCAUGCAAAAGAAAGGGAUAGUUGCUUGAUAGAGGGGAAUUCAUAUGCCAACUAUUGUUCAGAUGAAUAUUGAAACCUUAAGUAUAGUGGAGGAGUGUUGCAUUCAACUUGGAGUGAAUUUAUGGGAGUUGUUCUCAUUGCCCCAGUGAUAAGUCGAAGACUAUGAUUUUGAAUGACAUCCAAUUUGUGAAGCAGUUGGUUAUUUGAAGCAAAACAAAAGAAACUGUAUUCAAAGUGGCUACGAACAAGAGAUUUGUAUAGCGUUAAAAGAAUUUUAGGAUCAGAGCCCCAGUAUGUUCCAGCAAGAGACCUCAAAAUAUUCAGUGCCUUUGUAGCUCUGUCAGUUACACAAUCAACAUAUUUACCCCAGGAUACAUUGUUAAGAAACAACACACCCAAGAACUUAGCUUCUGUUACAGCUGGGAGUUCUGUACUAUCAUAAUAUAAUUUGACCUGAAAAGGCCUUCCUUUAUUGAAUACUAAUACUUUGGAUUUCUCUAUACUUAUGUCUAAGGCAAGAUAAUUAAAAUAGGCAGACCAAUGGAAACAAGCUCUGAAGACAGAAUAUGAUGAUUUACGUUAUUGAAAGCCCCUACUACAUCAAAAAAUACACUGGCCAAAACAUUAUUGGAUUUGAAUGCUUGAAAGAUGUCCAAAUGUAAAUGGGCAAUACUCUCUCUAGAAGAUCUGCCCUUUCUAAACCCAAAUUGAUUAGAAGAUGAUAUUGCUGACAUUAAUUCGGCAAAUGAAAAUGGUUCGAAACACAGACGAAGAUCUAAUUAUGUAUUUCUUCUUAGCUUGAAGCUUUUUAAAGUUUACAUAAUUCUCUUCAGUUGGGUCAUCUUUGAAUUGGAGGUGAUAGCUGCCUAAUGGAUCGUCGAAGACCAUCCAGUCACCUUGUAAAGAGAUGGAAGGAGAGACUAUGUUUAAAUCCAAGACAUUAGGUCUCUAUAUGUGAGAGCCGACUGUAGUAACAUGACCAUCAUUUAGUAGGACUAAAUUGUUUUUAUGAAUGACAUCUAAAAUGUCUUUGCCCCUGCAAUCAGAGGUUUGGCUGCCCCAAACUAUAUUAUGACAGUUAAAAUCCCCCGCCAAGAAAAUUGGUUCAAUUAAAUUGGCUUUUAAUUAAAUUAUUCAGUUUAUUGGUGAAAAAGGAGGGCUGCAAUUACCUGGGCUGUAAAGGCUUACAAUAGUUAAUUCCUUGCAAUUUGAAUAUUUAAUUCUAAUAGCUAUAUUUUGAAGAGAAUUAUCAUAAACAGUAUUUACAUUAGAGUAAGAGAUAGAUCUAUGUACAAGUAUGGCUACACCAUUGUGAGAGUUUCCUGAGUGUAGUCUUACUACAUCGAAAUUAUGCAAUUUAAAUUUAUGAUGAGAUUUAAGCCAAGUCUCGCAAAGAAUGGCCACAUGAAUAUUGUUAUCAAAAAGAAAAUGGUUGAAAAUAUGUUGAUUGUGCAAUAUA
Pieris rapae (cabbage white) is the source of this 1494-nucleotide long non-coding RNA. RefSeq lists it as uncharacterized. The transcript is spliced from 6 exons. The record is from RefSeq and is a predicted model, not a curated record. NCBI's taxonomy places the organism in Eukaryota, Metazoa, Arthropoda, Insecta, Lepidoptera, Pieridae.